This 1075-nucleotide ribosomal RNA is filed under the name Gilliamella apicola. RNAcentral's name for it is "bacterial SSU rRNA". It matches the Rfam family "Bacterial small subunit ribosomal RNA", at positions 391 to 1460 of the family's 1533-position model. The record is from RNAcentral. Lineage: Bacteria; Pseudomonadati; Pseudomonadota; Gammaproteobacteria; Orbales; Orbaceae.
GCCUGCCGCGUGUAUGAAGAAGGCCUUCGGGUUGUAAAGUACUUUCGGUAAUGAGGAAGGUGGUGUAUCUAAUAGGUGCAUCAAUUGACGUUAAUUACAGAAGAAGCACCGGCUAACUCCGUGCCAGCAGCCGCGGUAAUACGGAGGGUGCGAGCGUUAAUCGGAAUGACUGGGCGUAAAGGGCAUGUAGGCGGAUAAUUAAGUUAGGUGUGAAAGCCCUGGGCUCAACCUAGGAAUUGCACUUAAAACUGGUUAACUAGAGUAUUGUAGAGGAAGGUAGAAUUCCACGUGUAGCGGUGAAAUGCGUAGAGAUGUGGAGGAAUACCGGUGGCGAAGGCGGCCUUCUGGACAGAUACUGACGCUGAGAUGCGAAAGCGUGGGGAGCAAACAGGAUUAGAUACCCUGGUAGUCCACGCUGUAAACGAUGUCGAUUUGGAGUUUGUUGCCUAGAGUGAUGGGCUCCGAAGCUAACGCGAUAAAUCGACCGCCUGGGGAGUACGGCCGCAAGGUUAAAACUCAAAUGAAUUGACGGGGGCCCGCACAAGCGGUGGAGCAUGUGGUUUAAUUCGAUGCAACGCGAAGAACCUUACCUGGUCUUGACAUCCACAGAAUCUUGCAGAGAUGCGAGAGUGCCUUCGGGAACUGUGAGACAGGUGCUGCAUGGCUGUCGUCAGCUCGUGUUGUGAAAUGUUGGGUUAAGUCCCGCAACGAGCGCAACCCUUAUCCUUUGUUGCCAGCGGUUCGGCCGGGAACUCAAAGGAGACUGCCGUUGAUAAAGCGGAGGAAGGUGGGGACGACGUCAAGUCAUCAUGGCCCUUACGACCAGGGCUACACACGUGCUACAAUGGCGUAUACAAAGGGAGGCGACCUCGCGAGAGCAAGCGGACCUCAUAAAGUACGUCUAAGUCCGGAUUGGAGUCUGCAACUCGACUCCAUGAAGUCGGAAUCGCUAGUAAUCGUGAAUCAGAAUGUCACGGUGAAUACGUUCCCGGGCCUUGUACACACCGCCCGUCACACCAUGGGAGUGGGUUGCACCAGAAGUAGAUAGCUUAACCGCAAGGGGGGCGUUUACCAC